Long non-coding RNA from Anopheles bellator, 917 nucleotides. RefSeq lists it as uncharacterized. The transcript is spliced from 3 exons. NCBI's taxonomy places the organism in Eukaryota, Metazoa, Arthropoda, Insecta, Diptera, Culicidae. The record is from RefSeq and is a predicted model, not a curated record.
AGGUGAACGAAUUUAGUAUAAUUGCAAAGAACAAGCAUGUUCUCUUUCGUUAGCCAGUUUGUUACGGACGGGACCGGAUAUCACUUUCAUUCGUCGUUAGCGGAGAACCGACGGAGUGGUGCCAACGCGCGACAAAAGAAGCCAGUCUGAUGGCGCAUGGAACAGAGCUCAGGCUGAAUUGGGUUCUUUGGUUAGACGGUUUGUGGUUUACAUUUUAAAGAUACAAAUAAUUUAGAAUACAAUGUCUUUUACGUACUGCGCGAAAUAUGCCGGUCGGAUCUUCCACGUCAGCACCAGAGCUUGAGCUACAGAAAGUGCCGUAUUGAGAGUGGAACCAAUAAAUCCAUCGGCGUGCUGUGCGGAUCGGGAAUGGAGGAUCGAUAUCGAUUUCGAUAUACUGAUGUGGAGCUUUAUGUGCGGCGUGCAAUCUCAUCACAAAAAUCUUUCUACAAUGGUUCAUUUGUUCGUAAUGGCAAAAUUUGCGCGGAAGCGUGGAAGAAGGGUGGUCCAAAAAACAAAUGAGAACAAACUCCUAUGCCAAAAAAAUUUCACUCAGGAAAAGAAAUGGGCAGAAGACAAUCAAACGGAAUUGAACGAACAUAUGAAGACAUUUCGAGGUAAAGAAAUGCCUAAGGCAAUACAGCGAAGGAGUGAACCUUAUAAAUUCUUAGUAAGUAACAUGAUUUUGUUUGUGUUUCGUUUGUGAUUGUCUACGACUUAUCGCAAUUGUAUCGCGGAAAAAGUUUGUAUUUUGUUGUAGUUGAAGGGGCAUAGCCAUAAGUCAUCACCGUACUGGAAGAAGAUCUGCGCCCCCUUUUGAUUUUUUAGUAGAUCCUAAAUUAUUUUCUGAAAACGUGUGGGAGCAGCACAGAGAUGGAAAAGACCUGAAGUGGUCAUUCUAUCCAAAGACAUUACAA